This 285-nucleotide unclassified non-coding RNA is filed under the name Hevea brasiliensis (rubber tree). The record is from RNAcentral. Lineage: Eukaryota; Viridiplantae; Streptophyta; Magnoliopsida; Malpighiales; Euphorbiaceae.
GAAACAAUAAAUAUCCCUGAAGUGCACACAGAGGUGUAUAAACCUCUGAGGCUAAGCUAUGAAUACUUGGGAAUUAAUGAAGCUAAGUACCUCUUUUUGCUUUGUUCCUUGUUUGAGGAAGAUAGUAAUAUCUGUCCUGAAGAAUUACUUAGAUAUGGAAUGGGGCUUCACAUCUUUCCAGGAAUCAAAAAUUUGGAACAUGCAAGAAAUAAGGUGUGUUAUCUGUUGGAAAUGUUGAAAGAUUGUUUCUUGUUAUCCCAAGGUUCAGAAAAAAAUUGUGUCAAG